GGAAUUGAUAAGCGCUGAAAGCAUCUAAGCGCGAAGCGAGCCCUGAGAUGAGUCUUCCCUGACAGUUUAACUGUCCUAAAGGGUUGUUCGAGACUAGAACGUUGAUAGGCAGGGUGUGUAAGCGUUGUGAGGCGUUGAGCUAACCUGUACUAAUUGCCCGUGAGGCUUAACCAUACAACACCCAAGGGGUUUUGUA
Molecule: ribosomal RNA, 196 nt
Filed under: Vibrio cholerae
Lineage: Bacteria; Pseudomonadati; Pseudomonadota; Gammaproteobacteria; Vibrionales; Vibrionaceae
Description: partial 23S ribosomal RNA
Rfam family: Bacterial large subunit ribosomal RNA (bases 1-174)
Source: RNAcentral